Triticum dicoccoides is the source of this 4831-nucleotide long non-coding RNA. RefSeq lists it as uncharacterized. The record is from RefSeq and is a predicted model, not a curated record. The transcript has 9 exons. NCBI's taxonomy places the organism in Eukaryota, Viridiplantae, Streptophyta, Magnoliopsida, Poales, Poaceae.
GGUCGCCCACUCCUCGCACCCCUGUUGCUCCCUCCUCGUACCCGAUCUGGAUCGAGGGGACGAGGAGCUCCUGCCUCCCCGACGGCCGGCCUCCUCCUCGCCCCGCUGCUGCAUCCGGCGCCGCCACGGCCUCUGCAGCUAGGGAUGCCAUGGCCUGAGCUCGGCCUCGAGGUCCCCGCCGCCGUCUCCUGCAGCUUCCGCCUCACCGCCCGAGCUCGCGGUCGCACCAACCUCGGCACCACGUCGCCGCCGGCUCUGGUCGCCUCCACCUUCGCUCCAGGCAACCCUCAGUCGCCGGCUCGCUGGAGCACGACGGCAGACGAUGGAUGCCCUGGUUGUGUGCGACGGAUGCAGUUCUCACGCGCAAGCUAGGGUUGGAGCCGCCGGCUCUUCAUCCUGCCCGCCGGCGGUGAGUCUUCCGGUCCUGCACUGCCGCCUCCCCGUUAUCACAGUUGCAGGAGUCUUUGAAGGAGUUGGAGAAGUCUCUAGCGAUGCAAGUUCGUCUUAAACCUGAGUUCGAAUCCAAUUUCGUGGGAACAAGCAUAUAUUCCAUGAAUUUUCCAUUAGAUUCAGUGGACAGGUUCAUCGGGUCCUUUACUCCUCACAUAAUAACCGUGAAACUUAAUGAGGAAGGUUAUCCUUUCUUCAAGGACUGGAAGUUUCCUGGUAAGUGUUCCUUUUUCUGAAAAACUCUGUGUUUGUUCGCUGUAAUAUUUUGUUUGCAUCAGGUUUCUCUUUCCUUUUGUGGGCAUAAUGGGCGAGACAAUAAUAUUCAGAAAGUUGUUGUUUUAGGGAAACUGCUAACUCCAUAUGUCAGACCCAUAUCAUUGUUGAGCAUGCAUAGUGUUCCUAUGUCAUUUCUAUGAUGUAUUUGUUUCCUUUUAUAUCACAGUAGUCUUCAUUUUGGCCAUGUACCUUCAAACUGAACCAAAAAUGGUUUGUCUGAUGACAUGUUUGAGGAGAUUCUUGAUAUGAAACAGUAGAUAUGAGAGUGACCUUUUUUUGCAAGUUUUGUCUGUGGAAUCUUUUUGCAGUUGAUAAGACAUGGGCUGGUCUUACUUCUGAUCUGCAAUAUUUUCGGUAAAGUGAUUCAAGGUAUGUUUGAUUGUUUACUUAGGAUGGUUACUGAACCUCUUUGGGAACCAAGAAAUACAUUUUGUAUGUACAAAUAACAUAGGCCUAAAGUUCGUUUUUACAUUGAAAAUCUAUAUAUGAAAUUUUCUGUAACAAUCGAAAAUUCAUACACUCACUUUGUGAGAUGUCACACAACACCAUGCUCCAAAUUGUUGUCUAUCUGAUCCUUGUGGCAGAAUCAUAUACUCGUGCAUAAUUGCAUAUAUACUGUGACCGGGCACCAGUACAUUUGCAACAUUCUAAAGUUAGUUUUUUGUGAUUUUUUACCAAAACUUUUCUUCUACAAUUUAUAUGCAUGCAGAGGAUCUUCAACUGAUUUCAUCAUUUAUCUAGGCUAUGCGAGGUUGCAUAAUCAUGAAUGGUCAUUGUUCGGUAAUCGAAGCAAUACCCAGUUUAAUGCCUACCACUCACAAGACACACCGACAGAUCAAAUAAAUCUUCAAUGCACUGCCACUCACAAGAGCAAAUCAAUGUGUACAACCAAGAUGCCAAUGAAGGGAGAAUUGAGUUCAAAAUGAGAGACUACCACUCACUUAUAUUCUGCUGAAUUUGUUCCAUCUAUAGGAUUGUACAUGGAGAUUAUCUAUAAGGCUUAUGUCAUGUACAGGGAGAUUAUCUUAUGGGAUAGGCAUAUCAGCUACCGUUCAGACAUAGCAGUGAUGAUUUUUGCAGAACCACAUGCCGAUGGUGCACUUGCCUUUGGAAUUAAAGAUCAGCUUACUACACUAACCAGAGAUCAUAUAUAAAUACUCGACUCUACAGCAGUAUGAAGGGAUUUCAGGGCUAGUAAAUAUGUUAAAGAUAGAUACAGAGAAAGGAGAUUAGGGUAGUGGAUUCCGAUAAUGAUGCGAAAAAAAUGCCUUUGGGUCGAACACAUACUCUUGAAAGAAAGGAAGAAGCUUCUUGGUAAUGGAGAUGGUUCUCUUAUAUUUGGUAGGGAGCAGAAAAAAUCCAGCAUGGAAAAACACCACAUUCAACAUGGUGUAAUUAUGAUGAUCUAAACGAGUAUUCCUGGACUAAUGAUUGUUUCUCACUGCCAUGACCAAUGCGGGAUGAUGGUGGCUUCUUCAAAUAUGUGCAAGAUAUGUCCUCUUUAGCAUCACUGGAUUUUUGAAAACGUUAUAUCUGAAUUUAGAGUGCACUUCUGCAAAAAAAAAAUUGUCCUGAUUACUAUUUCGAUUUUAUUUCUGCAGGCACUGUGAAAUGAUCGAAUGCCGCUAAUCAUUUGGGAGGUUUGUUGUAGGGUGCUCUACCAGGUAUUUUGUUCAGAUAUGCUCUUUCUCUGCCUGCCAUUUUAGCCAUCAGUUGAGAAUUAUAUUCAGGUUAGCAAACAAGUUUCUUGAUACUUAUAAGGCGAACAUACUUACAAGGUGAACCCAUACAAAGAAAUAAAAUCUUGAUGACUUGUGAGCUUUGCCUAUUAACUUAAAAUUAACGGUGACAAGUUUCUUGUUCUGUACCAUGGUAAGUCAUGAGUCUGCUGUCUUGAUACAAGGAAAUAUUGGUUUUCUGCUUAUUCGUUCAUAUCUUGUUAUUGAAAGGAUUGCCAGUGUAUUAGUAAUUCAAGUUUCACCUUUCGCAGUGUAGUCUGGAAUAUUUGUAAUUAGCAAGAUGAACUCCUAUCAAGUACUCCCAAGGUUUUCUGAAACUGUACGAACAUUUGCUAACAGAAACUUAAGUUAGCAAGUUAGCAUAGCUGCUUAGCUACCAAGUUGCUAUGCAGUUAAUAACUUAAUAUACACCUAUGUUAAAUACAUAUACUUGUUGAAAGGUUUUUGUGUACUGCUCCUUGUCCUUUAUGUGACAUUUAGUUUCGUAGUCAGUCAUAAAUGGAUCCAGGUAGAUGUAUGGAUAUCUAUAUGGUGGAUGAUCCGUGUCAUUCUUUUACAGGUCAUAAUAUGCACCCACACAAUUCAAGUUCAUAUUUUGGAAGGACAUUGACCAACGAACCUUGUAGUAAUGUUACAGGUCAUAAAAUUGUGUAUUCCUACUAACCAUCAUUGCAUGUGUACAGUGGUUAGAGAUUUUGUAGUGGAUAAUCAAUUAUCUUUAUUUGCUUCUAACUCAAGGAAUCAUACUGCAACAUUUCCUCCAGUGCAGGCAAACUCGAAUGAUAGUUAGUAAACUUGGUUAGUAAUAUUUUUUGUUUUCUUACCUUGCAUUUGUGAUACAUCACUGAACAUGUUUAUUAGUUUGUCACGUCACUCCUGCUUGACGUGCCAAUUCACAAAGGGCAGCCCGGUGCACAUAGCUCCCGCUUGCGCAGGGUCCGGGGAACGGUCCGACCACUUGACAUGUCAAUUCACAAAAAUGAAAGAAAUCCAGAUGACCUGUGAACCUCCUUGUUGACAUAAAAUUAAUGUUGUUUUAUGUCUAAACCUCAUCUAUUAUAUACAAGUAGAGUUACGGUGGUGGAUUUCAAUUCUUGUAACUUAGUUUUCUUAUGAGAUGUAACUCAUCUACUAAUAUAUAGUAGUAUAUAUAAAGUUUCUUAAUCAAGCCGGCCUAAUGGACGGCACCAUACUUAGCAAAGCUAAUAGACGGCCCAUGCCCAGUACGAUUUUUUCAACUGUUGUAUAAUGAUAUUAUGAUUUCGUGUUCUUUUUCAGAAGAUCUGGGUGAUGAAGCUGACUCAAUAGAUCCAUAUUUUGGCCCCUAAAGCUGGUAGUGCAUCCUUGUCUAUGGUGUGGACAGAGGGAGAAAGGAGGCAAUUAACUACAGUCUGAAUGUAAAAUAAAAAUCGUCUGAAUUAAAAUAGAAUCUGAUAAAACAAAACAAAGGAGGUCAUUAACUAGAGAAUUAGGCUGGACUAGAUAUACAUAUUAUACUGUAUUUUCCCACUAAAAACAUCCAGCGGGGAGGCUGAUGCAGCACUAUCACGAAUUGUUCCAGCUCUUCCUGAAUCGAUAUGGUUUGUCGGUGUUGGGAUCCUCGACGGUGAUUAGCAACUGAAUCGUGAUGUAGGAUGGAAGUACACUUUACUUCAAAGGAUUGCACACAUAUGAAGCGGUUAUUGAUGAAGUCAUGGAAAAGGGACUUCCCAAUGCUACACAGUCAUGAAAUCUUUGUCUGUUUCACUCUUCUUCCGUACAUGAUAUACAAGGUUCUUGGGAUGCUUGGUACUGUUGCCAGGAGGUACGAAAUGGUUUGAUCUGUCAAGCAUGGAUUGCUGAAGCACAAAAUACAAGGGGGGUGCAUGAGGAGGCGAGAGCUGACGGCAACCAUUGGAGGAGGUCUGGUCGGUCGAAGAGUAAGGCAUGGGCAACUCCGGAGAGAUUUGGCUUGAGCAAAUAUCGAUGCUGCUACAAUGAGAAGACCCUUUCUAUGAGCCCUAUCCCUCUCAUUUAGCGUCUCGAUUUUGGGUUCUUCUGCUCCCUGUUUCUCUGUUCAUUCGUGGUGAUGGAUAGAAAGCAUACCAUACUUCCAUAGGCUUCGAUGUCCCGACGAGACCCUACAUCAUAAUCAAGGAGGAUCCUACAUCUAAAGGAAACAGAGCAGUCUAUAUCAUUAGUCUAUUACUGAUUUCUAGAAGAAGGAAAAAGGGAGAAAUGGUUGUUUCAGCUACUCUACAUUUGCUUUAAAAUUGGUGUACAUAUAUCAAGAAGAACUUGGUUGCAAAAGUGAUCAAACAUAACAUUCAACACAAACACAUUGGUUUUGUAAUUACAUGCCUAAGAUCUUUUAAUUUUGCAUUAAA